GUCUCUCUGCUUUAUGUUCAUACCUCCCCCCCCCCCCAAUCCACCCCAGUCACCCUCGUGUAUGAUGUAUGUCGGCUGUGGGUGAUAUGGAUGGGGGAGGGGGGAGGUAUGAACAGUGUCAUGACUGGCAUGACAAUACGACAUCUUGCGUUUCUUAUUGUCACCUCGAGUGACAGUGUGACGGGUGGAAAAGUCUGUGUGAGAAAGAAAGUGUGUGUGCGCGUCAGUGAAUGAGAGUGUGAUGCUGAAAUGAUGAACAACACGAGAUGGGUGGGGCUGAUUCCAAUCUUAGUAUAUAAGGGGGGGGGGG
Biomphalaria pfeifferi is the source of this 310-nucleotide non-coding RNA. The record is from the annotation of a GenBank genome assembly. Lineage: Eukaryota; Metazoa; Mollusca; Gastropoda; Planorbidae.